UCGUGGAGUGAUUCGUCUGCUUAAUUGCGAUAACGAACGAGACCUCGUCUUACUAAAUAGGAAAGUUUAGGCCUAUAUGUCAGGGCUUAGGAGAAGUGGUGGGGGUAAAACCUCACUAACCUUCUGGGUUUUGGCUGGUUUCUAGACAAUAUUUUCUUCUUAGAAGUACAACCACUAUAAGGUGGUGGAAGUGCGAGGCAAUAACA
RNAcentral lists this ribosomal RNA (206 nucleotides) under uncultured eukaryote. Its description in RNAcentral is "partial 18S ribosomal RNA". It matches the Rfam family "Eukaryotic small subunit ribosomal RNA", at positions 1299 to 1458 of the family's 1831-position model. The record is from RNAcentral.